GGGGUUAUAGAAAAGUUUGCUGUUAUGUUUUGUAAACCAUCCAUUCUUGUAAAUGAUAUGCUAGAUGGUGCAAAUUGGGUUAUAUUAUGGGCACCCGUAGCCUCAUGCAAAUCUUUCUCAUGUGGAUAUCUUUAAAGGGAAGUGAGAGGUUCAGGGCAGACAAUCCAUGGUCCUCAAGUCCUUUUAGUCCAGCAGAAGGGGGCUGCCCAUAAGCCAUGGCACUGACGUUCUUCAUCAGUUUCUUAAUGGUCUUCCCUGCAUGCAUUGUCUCCCAAGUUACCCUCACUGAAUCUGGAGGUGGUAUGAAGAAGCCAGGAGAAACUCUGCAUAUGACUUGUACGGUCUCCGGAUUUUCUGUCACUGACGACAGCUACGCAGUCAGCUUGAUUCGUCAGUUCUCAGGAAAGACCUUGGAAUGGAUUGCACAUAUCUGGGGUGGUGGAACCACUAGAUACAACAGCGCUCUCCAAAGCAGGGUCUCCAUCAGCAAGGACACUUCAAAAAGUCAAGUGAUCUUUCAAUUGAGUGGUUUGAAGCCUGAAGACACAGCUGUGUAUUACUGUGCACGACGCACAGUGAGGAAAUUCUUUUAAGCAAUAAUACAAAAACUAUUCUUCCUUUAAAAAUACAUUAGUCAUUGAAGGGUUUGUGGGUAAAGAAGUAAUUUUUUCCUACUAUCUCUAUAUAUUCAUACUAUCGUGUGUGUGUGUGUGUGUGUAUGUGUGUAUAGCAGGAGCCCCCGAUGGCGCCGUGGGAUAAAAUAAUAGAAUCAUAGAAUAGUAGAGUUGGAAGAGAUCUCAUGGGCCAUCCAGUCCAACCC
This is a non-coding RNA of Anolis carolinensis (green anole), 820 nucleotides long. The record is from the annotation of a RefSeq genome assembly. NCBI's taxonomy places the organism in Eukaryota, Metazoa, Chordata, Lepidosauria, Squamata, Anolidae.